RNAcentral lists this ribosomal RNA (582 nucleotides) under Trichoderma hamatum. Its description in RNAcentral is "eukaryotic LSU rRNA". The stretch from base 216 to 369 matches the Rfam family "5.8S ribosomal RNA". Lineage: Eukaryota; Fungi; Ascomycota; Sordariomycetes; Hypocreales; Hypocreaceae. The record is from RNAcentral.
UCUCCGUUGGUGAACCAGCGGAGGGAUCAUUACCGAGUUUACAACUCCCAAACCCAAUGUGAACGUUACCAAACUGUUGCCUCGGCGGGGUCACGCCCCGGGUGCGUAAAAGCCCCGGAACCAGGCGCCCGCCGGAGGAACCAACCAAACUCUUUCUGUAGUCCCCUCGCGGACGUAUUUCUUACAGCUCUGAGCAAAAAUUCAAAAUGAAUCAAAACUUUCAACAACGGAUCUCUUGGUUCUGGCAUCGAUGAAGAACGCAGCGAAAUGCGAUAAGUAAUGUGAAUUGCAGAAUUCAGUGAAUCAUCGAAUCUUUGAACGCACAUUGCGCCCGCCAGUAUUCUGGCGGGCAUGCCUGUCCGAGCGUCAUUUCAACCCUCGAACCCCUCCGGGGGAUCGGCGUUGGGGAUCGGGACCCCUCACCGGGUGCCGGCCCUGAAAUACAGUGGCGGUCUCGCCGCAGCCUCUCCUGCGCAGUAGUUUGCACAACUCGCACCGGGAGCGCGGCGCGUCCACGUCCGUAAAACACCCAACUUCUGAAAUGUUGACCUCGGAUCAGGUAGGAAUACCCGCUGAACUUAA